CGGACGGGUGAGUAAUGUCUGGGAAACUGCCCGAUGGAGGGGGAUAACUACUGGAAACGGUAGCUAAUACCGCAUAACGUCGCAAGACCAAGGAGGGGGACCUUAGGGCCUCUUGCCAUCGGAUGUGCCCAGAUGGGAUUAGCUAGUAGGUGGGGUAACGGCUCACCUAGGCGACGAUCCCUAGCUGGUCUGAGAGGAUGACCAGCCACACUGGAACUGAGACACGGUCCAG
This 232-nucleotide ribosomal RNA is filed under the name uncultured bacterium. RNAcentral describes it as "partial 16S ribosomal RNA". It matches the Rfam family "Bacterial small subunit ribosomal RNA", at positions 99 to 334 of the family's 1533-position model. The record is from RNAcentral.